GAUGAACGCUGGCGGCGUGCUUAACACAUGCAAGUCGAACGAUGAAGCCCAGCUUGCUGGGUGGAUUAGUGGCGAACGGGUGAGUAACACGUGAGUAACCUGCCCUUGACUCUGGGAUAAGCCUGGGAAACUGGGUCUAAUACUGGAUAUGACUUCUCAUCGCAUGGUGGGGGGUGGAACGAUUUAUUGGUCUUGGAUGGACUCGCGGCCUAUCAGCUUGUUGGUGGGGUAAUGGCUCACCAAGGCGACGACGGGUAGCCGGCCUGAGAGGGUGACCGGCCACACUGGGACUGGGACACGGCCCAGACUCCUACGGGAGGCAGCAGUGGGGAAUAUUGCACAAUGGGCGCAAGCCUGAUGCAGCGACGCCGCGUGAGGGAUGACGGCCUUCGGGUUGUAAACCUCUUUCAGUAGGGAAGAAGCGAGAGUGACGGUACCUGCAGAAGAAGCGCCGGCUAACUACGUG
This 466-nucleotide ribosomal RNA is filed under the name uncultured bacterium. RNAcentral's name for it is "partial 16S ribosomal RNA". It matches the Rfam family "Bacterial small subunit ribosomal RNA", at positions 28 to 507 of the family's 1533-position model. The record is from RNAcentral.